CUUAAAAUGAUGUUUGAAUUUCUUCACCUGAACAAGCUGAUGUUUUUAAAAUGAGCUUUUUAACACUGACCAGA
This is a small nucleolar RNA of Homarus americanus (American lobster), 74 nucleotides long. The record is from RefSeq and is a predicted model, not a curated record. Lineage: Eukaryota; Metazoa; Arthropoda; Malacostraca; Decapoda; Nephropidae.